Long non-coding RNA from Macrobrachium nipponense, 914 nucleotides. RefSeq lists it as uncharacterized. The record is from RefSeq and is a predicted model, not a curated record. Lineage: Eukaryota; Metazoa; Arthropoda; Malacostraca; Decapoda; Palaemonidae. The transcript has 4 exons.
GGGAACUUUUGAUCCGCGGAUAACUGUGUGUUAUGACGUUCUCUCUCUCUCCGUCUCUUUCACUCUCGGUUGAACUAGGAAGAUAUUCUCUGAACUCUUUAUUCAUAUUUCUCAAGUUGGUUGGAGGAAAAUGCAGUCCUUCAGCUGUUACAGAACAAUAUCGAUAUUGGCUACACUGAUAGGAACCUUCAUAGCGACCAUCGGUCAAGGAACAUCUAUUACAAACGACAGAGCCCUGUUUGCUAAGGUUGAUUCAAGAUACCCACAAGAUUUUGGAAAAUGCUCCCUGGCAAAUUACAGUGGAGUUGUUAAUCCCUCACACUGCGCUCACUAUUGUUCCCUCCUUGGAAGAUGCCACCUCUUCUGCAUGACCACAGAUGGAUGUCUGCUGUCUGAGGCCAGAGUAUCACGUCACUGGAAGGGAGUCUCAGGCGCCCCUCCCGCAGCCAUGACAUGUUUUUCCUCUUGGGGGAGUGCUAAUGAUGCUGCGUCAAAUGCAACAAUUUCUGCAACUCCUUAUCACUGGAACAACGAUGGUUUCAAAGAAAUGGCUGUCAAUGGUUACACAUGCUUUCAAGAAAGCGGUUAUACUUAUGCCUCUACAAUAGUACAAAGCCCUUGGUGGUCAGCUAACCUUGGUACUGUCCGCAAAGUUGUCUCUGUACGCGUUUUCACAAGGCAACGAUUGGAUACACUCUCAAAGUUCAAAAAUGUAGAGGUUCGUGUUGGAUAUUCUGACCCUGGAAAUGGCGAUUUCUCUGACAAUACUCUUUUAGGGUUUUAUGAGGGGGAAGCACCACAACAAACAACCAUCUACUUUGUUGCUGACAGACCCAUUAAAGGUUCUGUUGUCUCUAUCCAGAGUUUAGAUUACUAUCAUCUUGUAAUGUCAGAUGUUCAGAUUCUUUAUGUGU